AAAUAUUACCGUUCCAUGUUGAUCUGCCACUCAGAACCAGUUUGGGAACCAUGAUCUAUCCUGAUUAUUGGUCGAUAUUGACCGGUGCCUCAGGAAGGAA
RNAcentral lists this small RNA (100 nucleotides) under Pan troglodytes (chimpanzee). RNAcentral describes it as "processed transcript". Lineage: Eukaryota; Metazoa; Chordata; Mammalia; Primates; Hominidae. The record is from RNAcentral.